Molecule: long non-coding RNA, 1828 nt
Organism: Spinacia oleracea (spinach)
Lineage: Eukaryota; Viridiplantae; Streptophyta; Magnoliopsida; Caryophyllales; Amaranthaceae
Exons: 2
Source: RefSeq, a predicted model, not a curated record
CAACAAGAAAAAACCACAUGAACAUGCAACUUUCAACUAAACUUUGCAACAUAAACUUUUUUCAACAGAGUAAUGAGCUUUAGUUUCAAACUUUCAUUACACGAAUGUGCACAGAGUUUCUGUUUUGAUCAACUUAAAGUGAAAUUUGUUUCCUUGCCAACAGAAUAAUACGAAAGGGGGCUAAUUCUGUGAGUUAUAGACUUAUUGUCAUGAUGUUGGAUUUUGGCUUACUCCCUCCAUUACAAAUAAAAAUGUUUUCUAAGGUUGUAAAUAUAUAAAAGAUAGGACAAUAAGGUGCCAAAAUCACAAGUUGUGUUACUCGGACUCGAAGUUUUUAACAAGAAACCGCAAUCAAAGUUUUUAACAAGAACCCAUAUAUUAUAGUCAAUUCAAAAUGAAAGCACGACACAUAAAAUUCAGAGUGCAUGACAAAACCAAUAGAUAUGACUCAGUGGCAUCCAUGUUGUAGGCCUUAAGAAAGGACUCAAAGUAGUUCAUUUCUAAUGAUUGUUCCCUAUCCCUUUCUUUUAGUUAAAAAUAUUAAAAGUCUUCUCGCAAUCUUCCACUAUACUAGUUUAUAAGGUCUCUUUAAGUACUAAAUAAGUUAGAAAAGUAAACCACAACAAGAGCUCCCCAUUUACCCGGUUUAAACGCUUAAAAGUAGCUAAGCUCUCAACAAUUAACCCUUGGACCCUUGUUACAAGGCUUUAACUCUGCGAGAGUAUUCAAUGAUCAUUUAAUUAAGAAGAGUAAGCACCUAAAUUAAGGCUCUAAACUCCUUCUCAAACACAAGGUACCAAAAUUUUUAUCACCACAAGCAAUGACUGCAACCCAAAACCAAACUGACAGUCAGCAACCAGGCAAGUGAAACCACAAAUUAUACUUCUCCUUCCUGAAUUAUACCAGCAAACGAAGUUUUUAACAAGAACCCACAAAUUAUGCUCCUUCUCGAAUACCCAAUUCAAGGUGAAACCAAUGACACAUAAAAAUUUAGAUUCAUAACUCACAAAUACAAAAUACCAAAUCAAUAAAUUCAAAGCUAAUAGUAACAACGAACACAAAAUCAACAAACUCGAAAUACUGAAUUUAUAAAGUGAAUUGUUCUUUGACGCUCUAAGAUUAAACAAAAACGCCCUAAUUUACUAUGAAAUUCCCAUUGUACCCUUACUGACUUCUUUCUCAAUUACCCCUUUUACCUCUUUGUACCGACUCUUCCUCCCUUCAUUAGUUCAUUCUCUCUCCUCAACGUUACUAUACUCCGGCGCACCACCGUUGCCGCUGCACUUUGGAGCUCCUUUACUUACUCAAAUUCUCUCCUCCUCGAAGAUCUAGCCAUUUCAAUCGAAGUUGCAGCUAUUAAGUUUAAUUUUGUUUAUUUCGAUGGGAUUUCAUUCUGUCAGUUCCCAACACUGCGGCCACCGCUCCAACCCACAGAUGCUCGUCAAGACGCCGACCUCCCGUCCCCUCAAAGUGGUUUUGUGAAAUGGUUCGGCGAUUACAACCGCGUCUUGCACUUCCACGAGAGGAGAUUCAAGGUGGGGCGGUUCGGGAUGCUAUUGAUGACAUGUCUCCUUUAGUUAAGAAAUGGAACGAUAUGAUAUGACGCGUCUUGCACUUUCCUAAUGCAUAUGUUGGUCGAUCGACUUAGUCCUCAUUUAUUUAUCGGUUGUUGGUUUAUACUAUCAGUAUACAUUGUGCUUUGUAAUACUGAGUACGGAGUACUUUUUACUGGUAGCUAAUGUACUUGAACUUUGGUAUAGAUGACUAUCCAAAGAAAGUUGUAGGUGUAGAAAAUGCAAAAAGAGUUGAUCCUUAACCACCGUUCUCA